GACGAACGCUGGCGGCGUGCUUAACACAUGCAAGUCGAACGGAAAGGCCCUGCUUUUGUGGGGUGCUCGAGUGGCGAACGGGUGAGUAACACGUGAGUAACCUGCCCUUGACUUUGGGAUAACUUCAGGAAACUGGGGCUAAUACCGGAUAGGAGCUCCUGCUGCAUGGUGGGGGUUGGAAAGUUUCGGCGGUUGGGGAUGGACUCGCGGCUUAUCAGCUUGUUGGUGGGGUAGUGGCUUACCAAGGCUUUGACGGGUAGCCGGCCUGAGAGGGUGACCGGCCACAUUGGGACUGAGAUACGGCCCAGACUCCUACGGGAGGCAGCAGUGGGGAAUAUUGCACAAUGGGCGGAAGCCUGAUGCAGCAACGCCGCGUGCGGGAUGACGGCCUUCGGGUUGUAAACCGCUUUCGCCUGUGACGAAGCGUGAGUGACGGUAAUGGGUAAAGAAGCACCGGCGAACUACGUGC
Molecule: ribosomal RNA, 469 nt
Filed under: uncultured bacterium
Lineage: Bacteria
Description: partial 16S ribosomal RNA
Rfam family: Bacterial small subunit ribosomal RNA
Source: RNAcentral